GAUGCAGCACGCCGCGUGCGGGAAGACGGCCCUAGGGUUGUAAACCGCUUUCAGCAGGGAAGAAACUGACGGUACCUGCAGAAGAAGGUGCGGCCAACUACGUGCCAGCAGCCGCGGUGACACGUAGGCACCAAGCGUUGUCCGGAUUUAUUGGGCGUAAAGAGCUCGUAGGGGGUUCGGUAAGUCGGGUGUGAAAACUCAAGGCUCAACCUAGAGAGGCCACCCGAUACUGCUGUGACUGGAGUACGGUAGGGGAGCGGGAAAUUCCUGGUGUAGCGAUGAAAUGCGCACAUAUCAGGAAGAACACCGGUGGCGAAGGCGCCGCUCUGGGCCGAAACUGACGCUGACGAGCGAAAGCGUGGGUAGCAAACAGGAUUAGAUACCCUGGUAGUCCACGCCGUAAACGUUGGGCACUAGGUGUGGGUCUCAACCAACGAAAUCCGCGCCGUAGCUAACGCAUUAAGUGCCCCGCCUGGCGAGUACGGUCGCAAGACUAAAACUCAU
RNAcentral lists this ribosomal RNA (504 nucleotides) under uncultured Ilumatobacter sp. RNAcentral's name for it is "bacterial SSU rRNA". It matches the Rfam family "Bacterial small subunit ribosomal RNA", at positions 385 to 904 of the family's 1533-position model. The record is from RNAcentral. Lineage: Bacteria; Bacillati; Actinomycetota; Acidimicrobiia; Acidimicrobiales; Ilumatobacteraceae.